AGACAGUGCGAGGGCAGACCAAGUGGCGGUUGGUCGACGCAACAGUUCUGGAGUGGUCAGGGACGUAUAGAUUUGUCGGUAAACUGGACGGAGCGAAGAUAAAACUGGAGUAUAAACCCGUUGGAGCUGGAAUGAGCCGAGAUAGACGCCAUGAUUAAAGUGUUUAGCCAGGUUGAACUUGUUUUACCCAUGGAAGGGAGUGAAAUAAGAUUAAACAGUUUGGUCAGGGUUGACUAAAGGAGUGAGAUGGACGUUAACCUGUUUUUCCAGCCACAAGGAGUAACUAAACAAUGGCUCGUCUUCUGUGAUCUAUUUCUCUGGGACGCCACGUGUUACAAAGGAUGGGCACAAUUUUUCUAUCAUUGUUCCAGUAUUCGAUUAAUGGACUCUAUGCAUGUCAAAUCACUUGCAUACUGAGCUGCAUACUGAGUAUUCGGCACAGUCACCACGACUAAACAGCGGAGACCUGCAGGUUAAAGCCUCCCUGUACUUGGAUGAUGUUACAGUUUUCUGUCAGUGUUUAGACUUACGAGCAUCUGUGACAAGUUUGAACUGGGCUCGGGUGCCAAGGUAAAUUGAGGCAAGAGGGAGGCCAUGUUCUUUGGAAACUGGGCCAACUGAUCCUUCAUUCCCUUCACCAUCAGGACAGAUUACCUGAAGAUGCUGGGGAAAAAGAUUUGGAGGGGCCAGGAUGUGCAUAAAAACUUGGGAGGAGCGCAUUGCUAAAGUGAAGCAGUAAAACUUGGUCAUCAGGUGCUCUCUGUUGUAUGUAGCACAGGUGUGGCCCCUUCCCCAAAACUGUGGUUUUUGUCAAGGUUCGUCCCAGCAGUUCUGUGUCACGGGACUCUGUGCUCUACGAUCUGUUCCCUGGGAUGCACACCGAACAAACAUCGACUGCGCCUGGAGGACCAUCAACUCAGUGAAAGACGCUCUUUGGUCUGCCCAAAACUUGCUGGUCUUCCAAUUGAAAGAGUUGACUCCAACUGAAUGUGGCAGACUGGCGCAUUCCACGGUCCAGGACUAUGUGCUGAUGGACACUUUAAAGCUUGGGGCAGCUGCAGCCAAGAUGCAGUGGGGAAAGACCACCGUGUAAGGUCUUUCUGCCAAAAUAUAACGAGGUCCAUCUAGCUAUCAGACCCUCCCGAUGCAUCAGAUAAAUGCCUAUCGUUAAAUUAUGAACUAUAAUUUAGUUUAACAAUGCUAAAUUCCAAUGUUUGUUUUCUUCUCUGUGAGCAAAGGUGACAUAGAUCUGAACAGCUUCAUUAACUGUGUAUGUACAUACAGAUUUCCUUCAAUGAAUAAAAUAUAUUUUUGCAAUAAAAAAGUUCUGGAAGAAAUCGGCGCAGUUGCCAUGACUGAAUAGCGCCGAAUAAUUCCCCAGUGAUAAACAGAAGGAACAGCAUCGAACAGAGGGUGGUAGAGAGACUCCACCAAGGAGCAUUCUGGGAGAAUCCUUAUUUAAUAGUUGAGAAUCAGGAAAGCUUCCCAAUCAAAUCUGUAGCCAGGCAGCUUGCCUUGUUUUGUGUGUGUUGUAUAGAGCCUUUUGCUGACUCCAAGGAAGAAUGUGAGUCUGAGAGGGGUUACUGUUCCAGGCAGCAGAGGCCUGCAGGUCAAGGCCUCCCUUUACAUGGAUAAUGUCGCCAUUUUCUGCUCGGAUCCGCUAUAAGUGCGCAGUUGCAAGCAUCUGCGACCAGUUCAAAGUGGUCUCAGGAUCCAAGGUAAAUCGAAGCAAGAACAAAACAAUGUUCUUUGAUAACUAGGUCAACUAAUCCUCUGUCCCCUUCACUGUAAGACGAAUACCUGAACAACAUGGGAAUAUGGUUCAGAGGGGACGGGGCAUACGCAAAAUAUUGGGAAUAGUGCAUCGUCAAAGUGAAGCAGAAACAUCUUUUUGGAGCACUGCUCCCUCUCCAUUGUGGGUAAAAACCUGGUCAUUAGGUGUGAUGCACUCUUUCUGUUGUUGUACACGGUGUAGAUCUGGCCCAGCCCCAAAACAACACAGUUUCGAUCAGCUGAGCCAUCUUCUACUUCAUUUGGAGGCCUAAGAUGAGCCGUUUCUGCAGGGACUCCAUGUACAGAGCUCUGGAGAAGUGGGAGAGGAAUGUACCCAACAUCACCCUCAUCCGCUACAUUUGUGUGCAGCUGCAUUAAGCUGUGUGUUGUUCCUCGGUAUGCAAACAUUGUGUGACUAUUGACUGAGGUUCUACCUGUUGCCGGUUUUGUGAAGGGUGGGACUGGCUUUGUUGCUGUGGAAUGCUCGAAGUAGUUGGACUAUUCUGUAUCAUCUGUCGUCUGGAGAAACUUGCAAAGAGAAACAGCUUUGACCACAAGUCCGGCAGGAAGUCGUCAGCACGUAGGAUCGAGAGACUCUUCAGGAAAAGGAGAGGGUGGAUCCCUGAGCAGACUGUCAAAGUCAUUUGAUAGAUCGCUUGGCUGGUGGUGAGAAGGCCACUACCUGUGAGAUGUUUCAUGUAUGCCCAGUUGGUUUGCACCACCGCACACUGCCCUCAAAGCGGCUGCAGGGGUGUUGAGAUUGUCACAGGAAAGGAAGUCUGGAGAAAGAUGCAGUGGUUUUCGUCAAGGCUCGUUCUGUGCAGCUCCAUGACACGGGACUCUGUACUGUAUGCUUGAUCCCCAGGAUGCACCUGAAACAAACAUCAACUGCGCCUGGGGGACCAUCAUCUCAGUGAAAAAUGCUCUUUGGUCUGCCCUAAACUUGUUGGUCUUCCAAAACAAAAAGUUGGCCUUGACUGAGUACUGCAGACUCGCAUGUCCCGAGGUCCACAACCACGUGAUAAUGGACAUACUAAAGCUUGGGGCAGCUGUUACCAAGCCGCAGUGGGAAAAGACCACAGUCUGAGGCCUUCCUGUUGAAGUUAAAUUGGGGUCCCUUCAGUUAUCAGACCCUCCUUGUGCCUCAAAUAUAUGUAAAUUAUAGUAUUGCGACUAUAAGAGAGGCCUUUGA
Long non-coding RNA from Rhincodon typus (whale shark), 2965 nucleotides. RefSeq lists it as uncharacterized. The record is from RefSeq and is a predicted model, not a curated record. The transcript is spliced from 3 exons. NCBI's taxonomy places the organism in Eukaryota, Metazoa, Chordata, Chondrichthyes, Orectolobiformes, Rhincodontidae.